Molecule: non-coding RNA, 108 nt
Filed under: Desulforamulus aeronauticus
Lineage: Bacteria; Bacillati; Bacillota; Clostridia; Eubacteriales; Peptococcaceae
Description: Desulfotomaculum aeronauticum SAM-I sequence
Rfam family: SAM riboswitch aptamer (S box leader)
About the family: The SAM riboswitch is found upstream of a number of genes which code for proteins involved in methionine or cysteine biosynthesis in Gram-positive bacteria. The SAM riboswitch acts at the level of transcription termination control.
Source: RNAcentral
CUCUUAUCCUGAGAGGUGGAGGGACUGGCCCGAUGAAACCCAGCAACCAUCCGGUAAUGCCGGACUGGUGCUAAUUCCUGCAGAAGAUAAGCUUCUGACAGAUAAGAG